RNAcentral lists this ribosomal RNA (463 nucleotides) under uncultured Bacteroides sp. Its description in RNAcentral is "bacterial SSU rRNA". It matches the Rfam family "Bacterial small subunit ribosomal RNA", at positions 337 to 797 of the family's 1533-position model. The record is from RNAcentral. Lineage: Bacteria; Pseudomonadati; Bacteroidota; Bacteroidia; Bacteroidales; Bacteroidaceae.
GCCUACGGGGGGCUGCAGUGAGGAAUAUUGGUCAAUGGACGAGAGUCUGAACCAGCCAAGUAGCGUGAAGGAUGACUGCCCUAUGGGUUGUAAACUUCUUUUAUAAGGGAAUAAAGUGAGGGACGUGUCCCUUUUUGUAUGUACCUUAUGAAUAAGGAUCGGCUAACUCCGUGCCAGCAGCCGCGGUAAUACGGAGGAUCCAAGCGUUAUCCGGAUUUAUUGGGUUUAAAGGGAGCGUAGGUUGACAUAUAAGUCAGCUGUGAAAGUUUACGGCUCAACCGUGAAAUUGCAGUUGAUACUGUAUGUCUUGAGUGUACAAGAGGUGGGCGGAAUUCGUGGUGUAGCGGUGAAAUGCUUAGAUAUCACGAAGAACUCCAAUUGCGAAGGCAGCUCACUGGGGUACAACUGACACUGAGGCUCGAAAGUGUGGGUAUCAAACAGGAUUAGAUACCCUAGUAGUCCA